GAUAAACUAGUUAGAUGCUGCAGUAACAAUGAAGAACCUCAGUGGCUCAGCUCAACACAGAUUUAUCUCUCACUCCUGCCCACUGCACAUUCGGCCGGACAGGUUGCAGUGGCCAUCCUACGAUGCUGCUAUUCAACACUAACAUCUUGGGUUUGCUUUGGCAGGGGAAGAGGAGAAGGACUCAAGCACCCGUUCUUAGAUGUUCCUGGCCCAGAGUGACACUGAGCACUUUGUUGACCGUUCAUUGGCUCAGGCUUUCCCGAGUUUCAGAAGGAAGUAUACCUAGAAAGAAUGAAGAGCGAGAGGACUUGCUGAGCUCUGUCUCUUCUUGAAAUGUCACUUGGAUUUCAUCAUCCCAAACUGCAGACUGAGCUACUCCCUGCUCAGAGAGUUCUGUGCAGCUCCUGCCUCAGCAUUCACCGCCCCAGGGCCCAGGCAUCCGGCUUCUCAGCAAUGGAAGAAACCUUCCUGCCAUUUGACAACCCCCUCCUUACCCCUCCCUUCACCCACUGGCGCCGGUAAACUAAUGAGCAAGGAUAUUGCUCUUCUGUGUGCAGCAGCUCUGCUUCUCCAAGUGCUUACAAUAGGAGGCAGGGCCAUUUUACAGUUGAGGAUAGCUUGUCAGUGGUCAGGACUUUUCUUCCUUUUUUCCAAUGUGUAUUAAGCUUCAGCUGCCUGUUGAACCACAGAAUAACUCAAUAAAUUACAAAGUAGACA
Molecule: long non-coding RNA, 717 nt
Organism: Miniopterus natalensis
Lineage: Eukaryota; Metazoa; Chordata; Mammalia; Chiroptera; Miniopteridae
Source: RefSeq, a predicted model, not a curated record